This 253-nucleotide ribosomal RNA is filed under the name uncultured bacterium. Its description in RNAcentral is "partial 16S ribosomal RNA". It matches the Rfam family "Bacterial small subunit ribosomal RNA", at positions 524 to 776 of the family's 1533-position model. The record is from RNAcentral.
UACGAAGGGUGCAAGCGUUGUUCGGAAUUACUGGGCGUAAAGCGCGCGUAGGCGGGCCGCUAAGUCGAUUGUGAAAGCCCUGGGCUUAACCUGGGAAUUGCAGUCGAAACUGACGGUCUUGAGUGCCUGAGAGGAUGGCGGAAUUCCCGGUGUAGUAGUGAAAUACGUAGAUAUCGGGAAGAACACCUGAGGCGAAGGCGGCUAUCUGGCGGUGCACUGACGCUGAGGAGCGAAAGCAUGGGGAGCGAACAGG